AGUGAACGCUGGCGGUAGGCCUAACACAUGCAAGUCGAACGGCAGCACAGUAAGAGCUUGCUCUUACGGGUGGCGAGUGGCGGACGGGUGAGGAAUACAUCGGAAUCUACUUUUUCGUGGGGGAUAACGUAGGGAAACUUACGCUAAUACCGCAUACGACCUACGGGUGAAAGCAGGGGAUCUUCGGACCUUGCGCGAUUGAAUGAGCCGAUGUCGGAUUAGCUAGUUGGCGGGGUAAAGGCCCACCAAGGCGACGAUCCGUAGCUGGUCUGAGAGGAUGAGCGGCCACACUGGAAGUGAGACACGGUCCAGACUCCUACGGGAGGCAGCAGUGGGGAAUAUUGGACAAUGGGCGCAAGCCUGAUCCAGCCAUACCGCGUGGGUGAAGAAGGCCUUCGGGUUGUAAAGCCCUUUUGUUGGGAAAGAAAAGCAGCAGGUUAAUACCCCGCUGUUCUGACGGUACCCAAAGAAUAAGCACCGGCUAACUUCGUG
Molecule: ribosomal RNA, 492 nt
Filed under: uncultured bacterium
Lineage: Bacteria
Description: partial 16S ribosomal RNA
Rfam family: Bacterial small subunit ribosomal RNA
Source: RNAcentral